UUUGGGAUCAACAGCCAGACGGUGUUCCAUGACUUCCGCAUCAAUCUCCAGCACGUCCGUCGGAACCCAAGCGAAAACAUCUGCAUUCUUUUGUAGAAAAUUGAUGAGCCGUGUCCAUACCUCUUCUCUCAGGUUGGAGCCGAUCUUUACCACAUGCUCUUCAUUCCCAUCAUUCAAAGAAAUUGAGACAAGAUCUUCAAUUGGCUACUCCGUUCUUCAGCAAGAUCGUUGCGGGUGUCUAAUCCAUCAAUCGGACAGGGGUCAGACUAACUAUUUCUUUGUAAGGCUAUGUUAUAGCAGUGUCUUGCCAGGACUUGAUCUCUUCUGACCUCUCCAACCCCUUGGCUUGUAGGAAAUUUCAAUUUCAAAUGGUAGGUCGAUACCA
RNAcentral lists this long non-coding RNA (385 nucleotides) under Elaeis guineensis (African oil palm). RNAcentral's name for it is "long non-coding RNA (EGUI_LNC063201)". The record is from RNAcentral. Lineage: Eukaryota; Viridiplantae; Streptophyta; Magnoliopsida; Arecales; Arecaceae.